CUACGGGGCGCAGCAGUGGGGAAUAUUGGACAAUGGGCGAAAGCCUGAUCCAGCCAUGCCGCGUGGAUGAAGAAGGCCCUAGGGUUGUAAAGUCCUUUCGGUGGUGAAGAUAAUGACGGUAACCACAGAAGAAGCCCCGGCUAAUUUCGUGCCAGCAGCCGCGGUAAUACGAAAGGGGCUAGCGUUGUUCGGAAUUACUGGGCGUAAAGCGCACGUAGGCGGCCUUGUAAGUUGGGGGUGAAAUCCCGGAGCUCAACUCCGGAACUGCCUUCAAAACUACAAAGCUAGAGGAUGUGAGAGGAUAGUGGAAUUCCGAGUGUAGAGGUGACAUUUGUAGAUAUUCGGAAGAACACCGGUGGCGAAGGCGACUGUCUGGCACAUUUCUGACGCUGAGGUGCGAAAGCGUGGGGAGCAAACAGGAUUAGAUACCCGGGUAGUC
This 439-nucleotide ribosomal RNA is filed under the name uncultured bacterium. RNAcentral describes it as "partial 16S ribosomal RNA". It matches the Rfam family "Bacterial small subunit ribosomal RNA", at positions 339 to 795 of the family's 1533-position model. The record is from RNAcentral.